RNAcentral lists this long non-coding RNA (280 nucleotides) under Lathyrus oleraceus (garden pea). RNAcentral's name for it is "Pisum sativum (pea) long non-coding RNA (PSAT_LNC017234)". The record is from RNAcentral. Lineage: Eukaryota; Viridiplantae; Streptophyta; Magnoliopsida; Fabales; Fabaceae.
UUUUUGAUUACUAACACAACUUACUAACAUAUUAUUGUAUUAACUUUACUUUAAUGUCAUUUAUCUUAUGCUCUUUACUUUAUGCUUUUAUUUUAGCAUAUCAUAUCAUAUUGUUUGUGCUUAUACUAUUUGCCCUUUGUCCACUUGGACCUUUGUUUAUGUUUAUUCUCUUUUUUCCUUUGUCCAUUUGGACUUCUUCUUAUUUUAAAUACAUUAAUAAAGGAAAAAAACCCUAAAAAAUUGGUUCUCUUGAUUCAUGGACUUGAGGUUACUAUAAUUG